GAUGAAGAACGCAGCGAAAUGCGAUAACUAAUGUGAAUUGCAGAAUUCAGUGAAUCAUCGAAUCUUUGAACGCACAUUGCGCCCUUUGGUAUUCCUUAGGGCAUGCCUGUUCGAGCGUCAUUUGAAACCUCAAGCUCAGCUUGGUGUUGGGUGUCUGUCCCCGCCUCCGCGGGGACUCGCCUCAAAAUCAUUGGCGGCCGGUACGUUGGCUUCGAGCGCAGCAGAAACGCGAACUCGAGGCCCGGCGGAUCGGCGACCAAAAGUCUCUUCUUCACAGUUUGACCUCGGAUCAGGUAGGGAUACCCGCUGAACUUAAGCAUAUCAAUAAGCGGAGGA
Molecule: unclassified non-coding RNA, 336 nt
Filed under: soil metagenome
Description: partial contains 5.8S ribosomal RNA, internal transcribed spacer 2, and large subunit ribosomal RNA
Rfam family: 5.8S ribosomal RNA (bases 1-120)
Source: RNAcentral